Globicephala melas (long-finned pilot whale) is the source of this 2008-nucleotide RNA transcript. It is a transcript of the gene named heterogeneous nuclear ribonucleoprotein A2/B1, with no coding region annotated. The record is from RefSeq and is a predicted model, not a curated record. NCBI's taxonomy places the organism in Eukaryota, Metazoa, Chordata, Mammalia, Artiodactyla, Delphinidae.
CCUGACGUAGGGGAGGACGCGUUAGUCGGGGGGAAGGUUCUAGAAAAGCGGCGGCAGCGGCUCUAGCGGCAGUAGCAGCAGCGCCGGGUCCAGAGUGGAGGUGCUCCUAGCGGUGUUGUUUCUCGACCAGCGGCAGUUCUCACUACAGCGCCAGGACGAGUCCGGUUCGUGUUCGUCCGCGGAGAUCUCUCUCAUCUCGCUCGGCUGCGGGAAAUCGGGCUGAAGCGACUGAGUCCGCGAUGGAGAAAACUUUAGAAACUGUUCCUUUGGAGAGGAAAAAGAGAGAAAAGGAACAAUUCCGUAAACUCUUUAUUGGUGGCUUGAGCUUUGAAACUACAGAAGAAAGUUUGAGGAACUACUACGAGCAAUGGGGAAAACUUACAGAUUGUGUGGUAAUGAGGGAUCCUGCAAGCAAAAGAUCAAGAGGAUUUGGUUUUGUAACUUUUUCAUCCAUGGCUGAGGUUGAUGCUGCCAUGGCUGCAAGACCUCAUUCAAUUGAUGGGAGAGUGGUUGAGCCAAAACGUGCUGUUGCAAGAGAGGAAUCUGGAAAGCCAGGGGCUCAUGUAACUGUGAAGAAGCUGUUUGUAGGUGGAAUUAAAGAAGAUACUGAGGAACAUCAUCUUAGAGAUUACUUUGAGGAAUAUGGAAAAAUUGAUACCAUUGAGAUAAUUACCGAUAGGCAGUCUGGAAAGAAAAGAGGCUUUGGGUUUGUUACUUUUGAUGACCAUGAUCCUGUGGAUAAGAUUGUGUUGCAGAAAUACCAUACUAUCAAUGGUCAUAAUGCAGAAGUAAGGAAGGCUUUAUCUAGACAAGAAAUGCAGGAAGUCCAAAGUUCUAGAAGUGGAAGAGGAGGCAACUUUGGUUUUGGAGAUUCUCGCGGUGGUGGUGGAAAUUUUGGACCAGGACCAGGAAGUAACUUCAGAGGAGGAUCUGAUGGAUAUGGAAGUGGUCGUGGAUUUGGGGAUGGCUAUAAUGGGUAUGGAGGAGGACCUGGAGGUGGCAAUUUUGGAGGUAGCCCUGGUUAUGGAGGAGGAAGAGGAGGAUAUGGUGGUGGAGGACCUGGAUAUGGCAACCAGGGUGGGGGCUACGGAGGUGGUUAUGACAACUAUGGAGGAGGAAAUUAUGGAAGUGGAAAUUAUAAUGAUUUUGGAAAUUAUAACCAGCAACCUUCUAACUACGGUCCAAUGAAGAGUGGAAACUUUGGUGGUAGCAGAAACAUGGGAGGACCAUAUGGUGGAGGAAACUAUGGUCCAGGAGGCAGUGGAGGAAGUGGGGGUUAUGGAGGGAGAAGCCGAUAUUGAGCUUCUUCCUAUUUACCAUGGCAUUGAUAUGAACCAUGGACACGUAUAUUCUGCUGCCACAAAGACUGUAAAGUGCUUCAUUUCAACAGCUGAGGCAAGCCAAGUGAUCAUUAAUAAAGCUUUUCUUGGUUCCUUCAGUGGUGUUGGUAGUGAAAUGGAAGGUGUCUUGCUGCAGGUAACUAAUGAAGAAGUGGUCAACCACAGAAUCUUCAAGAAAUAAGAAAUUCUGUACCAUCUGAAAGUAGUUCUUGUUGGUGCCUUCAUUUUAAAAAGCACUCUUUAAGAUUAAAGGGAAAUGUUUUCUGAUAAAAUAACAGACUUCAUUUAGUACAGGUUCUUAAUAUAAAACAAUUACAAAUUGAGUAUUGUUUGUAACAGAGUAACAUCAGUUCAGCUAGAGAGAGAAAUGUAUCGUGUUUUGAAUUAGGUUUUGUGAGUAGACAGAUUAAAAUUCUAUUUUAAAUAUAAAGUUUAUUAAAAUAAAUACUUUUGUAUUCAAAUACUUGGUGUAAUGUUUACACAUAAAAUGUGAAUCUUGUUCUAUGAACAUUAAGUUGUCUAAAGGAUUGCCAUCCACUAGAUUUCUAAAGCAGUUUCACAAAGCAAUGCAUAUUGCCAUUUUCCUUUCAAUAUGGAUAGACAAACGAGAAAAGCACUGUGGACAUUAUUGGCUGUCCCUAAUAAAAUGCCAUUCUUUAUACACUGUA